CACCACCAGGAGCCCGCGGGGCGGGGAGAGGGACUUGGAAGAGGCUUGUGCGCGUGCGCACUAGGGCGUGGGCGGGGCGACAGCGCGGGCGGGACAAUGGGGCGGGGGGUGGGGCUGCUGUUAUUAGGCAAUGGGCGUUUGACGGGUCUGGGUUGGCCUGGAUUUGAUUGUAAAACGGAGCAGCUAAAUUAUUAAGUAGUCAGAAAUAGACUUAUUUCAGAAAUAACAUCUUAUUCCUAUUCCCAUGACGAGGAGAGUCCAAAAGUAGCUAAAAAAGAGAGACUGAGAUACGUAAGGCUCCACGCAGCCAGCCCUCCAGAAAGCCUCCCAAAGAACCGUCUGGAACCACACGCAGAGUAAACAACUUACCCACUACCUGUUAAGUGUGUGAAGCACUGGGCUCUACGGGCGUUAACAACCUAGUGAUGAAGAACCUACAGCUCCUACACCACGCGCGUGCCUCCAGGGGGAGAGGCAGCAAACCCUGGCCAAGCGGAAGACUUGAAGCAAAUAGGAAAAGUAUGAAUAAUUGGCAAGUGUGGGAGCAGUCACGUGGGAGUUUGGUACAGAAGAAUCUCGGCUCUGCUUCGAUCUGGCCGUGUGACCUUGAACAAGUCAUUUCACCGCCUUGUGCCUCAGUUUCCUUAUCUGCACAAUGGAAUCAUAACAGCACCAAUUUAUUAGGGCAACUGUAAGGGUUACGGGAGUUAAUGGAUGUGAAGAGCUGUGUGAAGUGGCAUAUGUAUGACUUCCCCGAGCCCUGAUACAACAAAAACGAGAGGAGGAGCGCCUGGGUGGCUCAGUCGGUGGAGCGUCCGACUUGGACUCAGGUCAUGAUCUCGAGGUUCGGGAGUUCGAGCUCUGCAUCGGGCUCUGUGCUGACAGCUUGGAGCCUGGAACCUGCUUCAGAUUCUGUCUCCCUCUCUCUCUGCCCCUCCCCCGCUCAUGCCCUGUCUCUCUCUCUCUCUUUCUCUCAAAAAUAAAUAAACGUUAAAAAAAUUAAAAAAACAAAAAUGAGAGACAAUCCGUUCUCAGAACUAGGUUUUUUUCUAAAAUAGUCAUUAUUGUUCUGAUACUAUAUUCUUUCCAAUCUCUUUAUUA
This is a long non-coding RNA of Panthera uncia (snow leopard), 1101 nucleotides long. RefSeq lists it as uncharacterized. The transcript has 3 exons. The record is from RefSeq and is a predicted model, not a curated record. NCBI's taxonomy places the organism in Eukaryota, Metazoa, Chordata, Mammalia, Carnivora, Felidae.